RNAcentral lists this ribosomal RNA (255 nucleotides) under Escherichia coli. RNAcentral's name for it is "partial 23S ribosomal RNA". It matches the Rfam family "Bacterial large subunit ribosomal RNA", at positions 2110 to 2364 of the family's 2925-position model. Lineage: Bacteria; Pseudomonadati; Pseudomonadota; Gammaproteobacteria; Enterobacterales; Enterobacteriaceae. The record is from RNAcentral.
CUUGACACUGGACAUUGAGCCUUGAUGUGUAGGAUAGGUGGGAGGCUUUGAAGUGUGGACGCCAGUCUGCAUGGAGCCGACCUUGAAAUACCACCCUUUAAUGUUUGAUGUUCUAACGUGGACCCGUAAUCCGGGUUGCGGACAGUGUCUGGUGGGUAGUUUGACUGGGGCGGUCUCCUCCUAAAGAGUAACGGAGGAGCACGAAGGUUGGCUAAUCCUGGUCGGACAUCAGGAGGUUAGUGCAAUGGCAUAAGC